This 301-nucleotide ribosomal RNA is filed under the name uncultured bacterium. RNAcentral's name for it is "partial 16S ribosomal RNA". It matches the Rfam family "Bacterial small subunit ribosomal RNA", at positions 509 to 807 of the family's 1533-position model. The record is from RNAcentral.
CAGUCGCCGCGGUAAUACGAAGGGUGCAAGCGUUAAUCGGAAUUACUGGGCGUAAAGCGUGCGUAGGCGGUUUGUUAAGUCUGUUGUGAAAUCCCCGGGCUCAACCUGGGAAUGGCAAUGGAUACUGGCAAGCUAGAGUGUGUCAGAGGAUGGUGGAAUUCCCGGUGUAGCGGUGAAAUGCGUAGAGAUGUGGAGGAAUACCGAUGGCGAAGGCAGCCCCCUGGGCCAAUACUGACGCUCAUGCACGAAAGCGUGGGGAGCAAACAGGAUUAGAUACCCCGGUAGUCCCUGUCUCUUAUAC